AGCCCGGUAGUCUAGCGGCCAAACUCUGGUCAGAAGACCCCGGGGACCCCGGUUCGAAUCCGGGCCGGGCUACCA
RNAcentral lists this transfer RNA (75 nucleotides) under archaeon. RNAcentral's name for it is "tRNA-Phe". It matches the Rfam family "tRNA". Rfam says of the family: Transfer RNA (tRNA) molecules are approximately 80 nucleotides in length. Their secondary structure includes four short double-helical elements and three loops (D, anti-codon, and T loops). The record is from RNAcentral.